RNAcentral lists this unclassified non-coding RNA (333 nucleotides) under soil metagenome. Its description in RNAcentral is "partial contains 5.8S ribosomal RNA, internal transcribed spacer 2, and large subunit ribosomal RNA". The stretch from base 1 to 120 matches the Rfam family "5.8S ribosomal RNA", at positions 35 to 154 of the family's 154-position model. The record is from RNAcentral.
GAUGAAGAACGCAGCGAAAUGCGAUAAGUAGUGUGAAUUGCAGAAUUCAGUGAAUCAUCGAAUCUUUGAACGCACAUUGCGCCCCUCGGUAUUCCGUGGGGCAUGCCUGUUCGAGCGUCAUUUACCCCUCAAGCACUGCUUGGUGUUGGGCGUCUGUCCCGCUUCGCGCGCGGACUCGCCCCAAAGGUAUUAGCAGCGGUCGUGCCAGCUUCUCGCGCAGCACAUUGCGCUUCUCGAGGCGGUCGAUCGGCGUCCACGAAGCUCACCUCCACCGUUUGACCUCGGAUCAGGUAGGGAUACCCGCUGAACUUAAGCAUAUCAAUAAGCGGAGGA